GCAAGGAUGGACUCGCGGCCUAUCAGCUUGUUGGUGAGGUAACGGCUCACCAAGGCGACGACGGGUAGCCGGCCUGAGAGGGUGACCGGCCACACUGGGACUGAGACACGGCCCAGACUCCUACGGGAGGCAGCAGUGGGGAAUAUUGCACAAUGGGCGAAAGCCUGAUGCAGCAACGCCGCGUGAGGGACGACGGCCUUCGGGUUGUAAACCUCUUUUAGCAGGGAAGAAGCGAAAGUGACGGUACCUGCAGAAAAAGCACCGGCUAACUACGUGCCAGCAGCCGCGGUAAUACGUAGGGUGCAAGCGUUGUCCGGAAUUAUUGGGCGUAAAGAGCUCGUAGGCGGUUUGUCGCGUCUGCUGUGAAAUCCCGAGGCUCAACCUCGGGUCUGCAGUGGGUACGGGCAGACUAGAGUGCGGUAGGGGAGAUUGGAAUUCCUGGUGUAGCGGUGGAAUGCGCAGAUAUCAGGAGGAACACCGAUGGCGAAGGCAGAUCUCUGGGCCGCUACUGACGCUGAGGAGCGAAAGGGUGGGGAGCAAACAGGCUUAGAUACCCUGGUAGUCCACCCCGUAAACGUUGGGCGCUAGAUGUGGGGACCAAUUCCAC
RNAcentral lists this ribosomal RNA (607 nucleotides) under Curtobacterium sp. SSRB8-1. Its description in RNAcentral is "bacterial SSU rRNA". It matches the Rfam family "Bacterial small subunit ribosomal RNA", at positions 219 to 844 of the family's 1533-position model. Lineage: Bacteria; Bacillati; Actinomycetota; Actinomycetes; Micrococcales; Microbacteriaceae. The record is from RNAcentral.